GUGACUACCUAACACUGUUGCUUCGGCGGGGAGCCCUCUCGGGGGCGAGCCGCCGGGGACUACUGAACUUCAUGCCUGAGAGUGAUGCAGUCUGAGUCUGAAUAUAAAAUCAGUCAAAACUUUCAACAAUGGAUCUCUUGGUUCCGGCAUCGAUGAAGAACGCAGCGAACUGCGAUAAGUAAUGUGAAUUGCAGAAUUCAGUGAAUCAUCGAGUCUUUGAACGCACAUUGCGCCCCCUGGCAUUCCGGGGGGCAUGCCUGUCCGAGCGUCAUUGCUGCCCAUCAAGCCCGGCUUGUGUGUUGGGUCGUCGUCCCCCCCGGGGGACGGGCCCGAAAGGCAGCGGCGGCACCGUGUCCGGUCCUCGAGCGUAUGGGGCUUUGUCACCCGCUCGAUUAGGGCCGGCCGGGCGCCAGCCGACGUCUCCAACCAUUUUCUUCAGGUUGACCUCGGAUCAGGUAGGGAUACCCGCUGAACUUAAGCUAU
RNAcentral lists this ribosomal RNA (483 nucleotides) under Aspergillus venenatus. Its description in RNAcentral is "eukaryotic LSU rRNA". The stretch from base 118 to 271 matches the Rfam family "5.8S ribosomal RNA". Lineage: Eukaryota; Fungi; Ascomycota; Eurotiomycetes; Eurotiales; Aspergillaceae. The record is from RNAcentral.